Molecule: unclassified non-coding RNA, 329 nt
Filed under: soil metagenome
Description: partial contains 5.8S ribosomal RNA, internal transcribed spacer 2, and large subunit ribosomal RNA
Rfam family: 5.8S ribosomal RNA (bases 1-120)
Source: RNAcentral
GAUGAAGAACGUAGCGAAAUGCGAUAAGUAAUGUGAAUUGCAGAAUUCAGUGAAUCAUCGAAUCUUUGAACGCACAUUGCGCCCCUUGGUAUCCCGAGGGGCAUGCCUGUUCGAGCAUCAUUUCACCACUCAAGCCUGGCUUGGUGUUGGGCGACGUCCUCUUUGGGGACGCGCCUCGAAACGCUCGGCGGCGUGGCACCGGCUUUAAGCGUAGCAGAAUCUUUCGCUUUGGAAGUCGGGGCCCCGUCUGCCGGAAGACCUGCUCGCAAGGUUGACCUCGGAUCAGGCAGGGAUACCCGCUGAACUUAAGCAUAUCAAUAAGCGGAGGA